UUCAGUGAAUUUUUUUUUUGGUAAUGAAUAUGUGUUGUGCAGAGAGAGUUGGAGAGAGAUCUAUGGGAGACCCUUCACUACUGUCAAACCAGUCCCCUCUAAUACUGAUGAAGAGAUUACUGUAUUAAUUGUUAAUCUAACACAACCGGAUGAAGCAUGGAGUCGAAUAUUAUGUAUAUGAGAUUGUUCUGUUGAAGGAUGGGAGGGAGGAAGGUGCUAAGCAAAUACUACUCACCUGUCCAACCUAGAGGCUUGAGGGGUCAAGCACACAUGAUGCUUCCCAUAAGUAGAUGUUAUUGGUGACAAUUAUUUAGGUAUUCGAAGGUUCUGAUUCUACUGCAAAUGUACAGAUGCUUUGCUGAGCUUACCAUCAAGACUGACCCACAAAAUUUCAACUAUAUUGUUGAGUCUGGUGCUACCAGAAAUUUUGAACCUGUGUGAAGAUGAUGAGGCAGCAGAGACAAUAACCAUAAAAGAGAAGUUGGAGAGAUGGAAGAUGCAAUGAAAUCUUUAGAGAACAAAAACCUUGGAUUUGGAAAGAAAAAUGGACAUCAUUACUACACUGGAUGGGAUGAAAUCUAUGAAGUUCUUUUUUUUGUAUUUCAUGGACUUAAUCGGCAGACAAGGUACCCCCACAUGGUACUACUCUUUCUUAUCAAUUUUCAGCUUCAAUCUUCUUGGGUUUAAUCCUUAUUCAAAUAUGUUAAAACUUUUAAGGUUUUUGUUUUAAUUGGUGGUAGUUGAGAAUUGAGUAAGGAUCUUGCAAAAUAUGCGAAAGUGUUAGAAGUAGGGGCUAAUGGAUUG
Quercus robur (English oak) is the source of this 804-nucleotide long non-coding RNA. RefSeq lists it as uncharacterized. NCBI's taxonomy places the organism in Eukaryota, Viridiplantae, Streptophyta, Magnoliopsida, Fagales, Fagaceae. The record is from RefSeq and is a predicted model, not a curated record. The transcript is spliced from 4 exons.